AUGGGCGGUGUCACGGGGUAUGACUAUAUAGGUCUUGUAGAGGAGAAACAGGCGCAUCUUUAGCGCAAGGUAUCGAAGGGCGCUAUGUUCAAAAAUCUGAAACUAGAGCUCAAAAUUUCAAAAAAAAAUUGUUAAAAACAGGGGGGUUGGCCUAUUCCAUGGCUUCUAGAGAAAAAUAAUGAGGGGUGUCACGGGGUAUGACUAUAUAGGUCUU
This is a long non-coding RNA of Mytilus californianus (California mussel), 214 nucleotides long. RefSeq lists it as uncharacterized. NCBI's taxonomy places the organism in Eukaryota, Metazoa, Mollusca, Bivalvia, Mytilida, Mytilidae. The record is from RefSeq and is a predicted model, not a curated record. The transcript is spliced from 2 exons.